RNAcentral lists this ribosomal RNA (375 nucleotides) under uncultured bacterium. RNAcentral's name for it is "bacterial SSU rRNA". It matches the Rfam family "Bacterial small subunit ribosomal RNA", at positions 29 to 430 of the family's 1533-position model. The record is from RNAcentral.
AACGAACGCUGGCGGCAUGCCUAACACAUGCAAGUCGAACGAAGGCUUCGGCCUUAGUGGCGCACGGGUGCGUAACGCGUGGGAACCUGCCCCUCGGUUCGGAAUAACAGUUAGAAAUAGACUGCUAAUACCGGAUGAUGACUUCGGUCCAAAGAUUUAUCGCCGAGGGAUGGGCCCGCGUAGGAUUAGCUAGUUGGUGGGGUAAAGGCCUACCAAGGCGACGAUCCUUAGCUGGUCUGAGAGGAUGAUCAGCCACACUGGGACUGAGACACGGCUCAGACUCCUACGGGAGGCAGCAGUGGGGAAUAUUGGACAAUGGGCGAAAGCCUGAUCCAGCAAUGCCGCGUGAGUGAUGAAGGCCUUAGGGUUGUAAAG